RNAcentral lists this transfer RNA (62 nucleotides) under Blattisocius keegani. RNAcentral describes it as "tRNA-Asn". Lineage: Eukaryota; Metazoa; Arthropoda; Arachnida; Mesostigmata; Blattisociidae. The record is from RNAcentral.
UUAACUGAAGCCAAAUAGAGGCUGCUUAUUGUUAAUAAGCUAAUUGAAAUUUUCCAGUUGCU